This 468-nucleotide ribosomal RNA is filed under the name uncultured bacterium. RNAcentral describes it as "partial 16S ribosomal RNA". It matches the Rfam family "Bacterial small subunit ribosomal RNA", at positions 28 to 507 of the family's 1533-position model. The record is from RNAcentral.
GACGAACGCUGGCGGCGUGCUUAACACAUGCAAGUCGAACGGAAAGGCCCUGCUUUUGUGGGGUGCUCGAGUGGCGAACGGGUGAGUAACACGUGAGUAACCUGCCCUUGACUUUGGGAUAACUUCAGGAAACUGGGGCUAAUACCGGAUAGGAGCUCCUGCUGCAUGGUGGGCGUUGGAAAGUUUCGGCGGUUGGGGAUGGACUCGCGGCUUAUCAGCUUGUUGGUGGGGUAGUGGCUUACCAAGGCUUUGACGGGUAGCCGGCCUGAGAGGGUGACCGGCCACAUUGGGACUGAGAUACGGCCCAGACUCCUACGGGAGGCAGCAGUGGGGAAUAUUGCACAAUGGGCGGAAGCCUGAUGCAGCAACGCCGCGUGCGGGAUGACGGCCUUCGGGUUGUAAACCGCUUUCGCCUGUGACGAAGCGUGAGUGACGGUAAUGGGUAAAGAAGCACCGGCUAACCACGUG